AAUAGAUACCCUGGUAGUCCACGCCGUAAACGAUGAGUGCUAAGUGUUAGGGGGUUUCCGCCCCUUAGUGCUGCAGCUAACGCAUUAAGCACUCCGCCUGGGGAGUACGGUCGCAAGAUUGAAACUCAAAGGAAUUGACGGGGGCCCGCACAAGCGGUGGAGCAUGUGGUUUAAUUCGAAGCAACGCGAAGAACCUUACCAGGUCUUGACAUCCCACUGACCGCUAUGGAGACAUAGUUUUCCCUUCGGGGACAGUGGUGACAGGUGGUGCAUGGUUGUCGUCAGCUCGUGUCGUGAGAUGUUGGGUUAAGUCCCGCAACGAGCGCAACCCUUGAUCUUAGUUGCCAUCAUUUAGUUGGGCACUCUAAGGUGACUGCCGGUGACAAACCGGAGGAAGGUGGGGAUGACGUCAAAUCAUCAUGCCCCUUAUGACCUGGGCUACACACGUGCUACAAUGGACGGUACAAACGGUUGCCAACCCGCGAGGGGAGCUAAUCCGAUAAAACCGUUCUCAGUUCGGAUUGUAGGCUGCAACUCGCCUACA
Molecule: ribosomal RNA, 544 nt
Filed under: uncultured bacterium
Lineage: Bacteria
Description: bacterial SSU rRNA
Rfam family: Bacterial small subunit ribosomal RNA
Source: RNAcentral